UGGCCCAACCCACCUCUCUGCCCCUCCCCCUCUGUGGCUCAACCAACCUCUCUGCCCCCCUCCCCUUCUGUGGCCCACCCCACCUCUCUGCCCCCCUCCCCUUUCAAUCUGACCCACCCUCUGUAACCAGCUCCCCAAUCCAUCCUCCUUCCCCCAUCCAGCAUCCUUCCCCACCUAGUGAAUGGGCAGCAGAGGCCCCGGAGGCACUUGAGGGAGGUGUGCAUGUGCCAGAGAAGAAUGUUGCAGUUGGAGAUCCCACAACUUUUGCGGGCAUUCUGGCCAGCCUGAAAAGGAAUCUUAAAGCCUUGCUAGCGGAUGUAGAUAAUCUACAGAAAUUUGUUUAAAGUUAAAGAAAAAAAAUUAUUUGUUUAAAAAUAAAAAACAUUUUUUCAAGUUAA
Pseudophryne corroboree (corroboree frog) is the source of this 398-nucleotide long non-coding RNA. RefSeq lists it as uncharacterized. The transcript is spliced from 2 exons. The record is from RefSeq and is a predicted model, not a curated record. Lineage: Eukaryota; Metazoa; Chordata; Amphibia; Anura; Myobatrachidae.